GUCUAUGGCCAUAUCACCCUGAACGUGCCUGAUCUCUUCUGAUCUCGGAAGCUAAGCAGGGUCGGGCCUGGUUAGCACUUGGAUGGGAGACCCCUAAGAUGAUUUUUUUCAGCCUCCAAUGGGCC
This is a ribosomal RNA of Otolemur garnettii (small-eared galago), 125 nucleotides long. Lineage: Eukaryota; Metazoa; Chordata; Mammalia; Primates; Galagidae. The record is from Ensembl.